RNAcentral lists this long non-coding RNA (245 nucleotides) under Coccomyxa subellipsoidea. RNAcentral's name for it is "long non-coding RNA (CSUB_LNC000649)". Lineage: Eukaryota; Viridiplantae; Chlorophyta; Trebouxiophyceae; Coccomyxaceae. The record is from RNAcentral.
GACGACAGGCAACCUUGGUGCAUUGGAGCUCGAUCCGAGAAAGAACAAAACUCUACAGUAUUCGCGAGGACUGGAGUGAGGCUUGACAGUUAAGUAAUCUGCAGCUGGUCGUGAAGGAAGUUUUGGGAAACAUCCCAUUUUGUUAUAAGGCAGCUUGGAGUCUGUCAAAGAGUGGAAGGAUGCGCAGCAUGGUCAGCGCGCCUUCUGCGUGUGCAAUGCUUCCGUCUGCACCCUCGCACAGCAGG